This 485-nucleotide long non-coding RNA is filed under the name Aedes aegypti (yellow fever mosquito). RNAcentral's name for it is "lncRNA AAEL026046". The record is from RNAcentral. Lineage: Eukaryota; Metazoa; Arthropoda; Insecta; Diptera; Culicidae.
UCUAAGAAUGCUUUGGUAAUAUCAGUAUGACAGUUUUGAGUUCAGUAUUUAUCAGGAUUCUAACGCGAAAUUUUGUUUUUCUUCGGAAAUAAUUUGUAUGUUUUCGUUUAUCCAUUUAUUACUUGAGCUUAAAAAAAAUGAACAAUCUUUCCCAGCUCAAUGCGGGUGCCGAUGUCCUGUGGAUGUAACAAGCAAGAGAACCUUCAAUUCGGAGAAAGCGUGCCUGAGGUUCCAAAUGCAACAAUACUAUUGCCUUCGGAUUUAUUUGGCAGUCAGAAAUAAAUUAAGACUAGUGCAUAUCGAAGAAAAUGAUUCGUGAUUGAUUUGUUAUAUUUUAGACAGACACCGGAAGCUACAGACCGAGAAGAUCUUCGACAAACAUUGCUAAUGGUCACAGUAGCGUUGCUACCAAAUGAGCUCCUAGGCAGUAAUUUCCAUUUACAAAUAAUUUUAUGAAAUAAAGUAUUUUAUAAUGUUGCCGUAAA